UACGGGGGGGGGCAAGCGUUGUUCGGAAUUACUGGGCGUAAAGGGCUCGUAGGCGGCCAACUAAGUCAGACGUGAAAUCCCUCGGCUUAACCGGGGAACUGCGUCUGAUACUGGAUGGCUUGAGUUCGGGAGAGGGAUGUGGAAUUCCAGGUGUAGCGGUGAAAUGCGUAGAUAUCUGGAGGAACACCGGUGGCGAAGGCGGCAUCCUGGACCGGUUCUGACGCUGAGGCGCGAAAGCGUGGGUAGCAAACAGG
RNAcentral lists this ribosomal RNA (254 nucleotides) under uncultured bacterium. Its description in RNAcentral is "partial 16S ribosomal RNA". It matches the Rfam family "Bacterial small subunit ribosomal RNA", at positions 524 to 776 of the family's 1533-position model. The record is from RNAcentral.